Molecule: small nucleolar RNA, 138 nt
Organism: Tachyglossus aculeatus (Australian echidna)
Lineage: Eukaryota; Metazoa; Chordata; Mammalia; Monotremata; Tachyglossidae
Source: RefSeq, a predicted model, not a curated record
CCCCUCUCAGGAUCACUCCUGGAGAGUUUCCAAUACUCUACCAAUCUCGACUACGGGAGGGAGAGUCAAGCAGAGGCAUUUGCAUUCCAUUCCUAGCUUGGGCAGUGGCUAGCGAAUGGAAGGCAGUCUGUUACAAGU